GAUGAACGCUGGCGGCGUGCCUAAUACAUGCAAGUCGAGCGAACAGACGAGGAGCUUGCUCCUCUGACGUUAGCGGCGGACGGGUGAGUAACACGUGGAUAACCUACCUAUAAGACUGGGAUAACUUCGGGAAACCGGAGCUAAUACCGGAUAAUAUAUUGAACCGCAUGGUUCAUUAGUGAAAGACGGUUUUGCUGUCACAUAUAGAUGGAUCCGCGUCGCAUUAGCUAGUUGGUAAGGUAACGGCUUACCAAGGCAACGAUCCGUAGCCGACCGGAGAGGGUGAUCGGCCACACUGGAACUGAGACACGGUCCAGACUCCUACGGGAGGCAGCAGUAGGGAAUCUUCCGCAAUGGGCGAAAGCCUGACGGAGCAACGCCGCGUGAGUGAUGAAGGUCUUCGGAUCGUAAAACUCUUUUAUUAGGGAAGAACAAAUGUGGAAGUAACUAUGCACGUCUUGACGGUACCUAAUCAGAAAGCCACGGCUAACUACGUG
This 497-nucleotide ribosomal RNA is filed under the name uncultured bacterium. Its description in RNAcentral is "partial 16S ribosomal RNA". It matches the Rfam family "Bacterial small subunit ribosomal RNA", at positions 28 to 507 of the family's 1533-position model. The record is from RNAcentral.